CUAUCGCGCUUGAUGAAAUCAUUGACGGAUGUAACGAGCAAUUGCUCAGUUGUCCGAGAGCGCAUAAACUCAUGUGGAUGUCCCGUUGCCUUCCUUCUGACCGUUU
This 106-nucleotide small nucleolar RNA is filed under the name Dichomitus squalens LYAD-421 SS1. Its description in RNAcentral is "Small nucleolar RNA Z13/snr52". It matches the Rfam family "Small nucleolar RNA Z13/snr52". From Rfam's summary of the family: Z13 or snr52 is a member of the C/D class of snoRNA which contain the C (UGAUGA) and D (CUGA) box motifs. The record is from Rfam by way of RNAcentral. Lineage: Eukaryota; Fungi; Basidiomycota; Agaricomycetes; Polyporales; Polyporaceae.